CGGAAUGCUAUACAGCAAAAGAUUGUUAAAGCCCUCAGAGAAUAUCGUAAUCUUCACUCGGUGCAGCAUCGGUUGGGGUCUAGAUUAAUAUACCCAGAGUCUCUGAAGUUCUUGCCAUUGUACGGAUUGGCAAUUUGUAAGUCCACACCUCUUCAUGGUGGACCAGCUGAUGCUUCACUUGACGAACGAAGUGCGGCAGGCUUCACCAUGAUGGCCCUGCCUGUCAAAAAGCUAUUGAAGCUGUUAUAUCCCAGUUUAUUCCGUGUUGACGAGUGGCUCUUAAAGGUUUGUGCUUCUCUAUCUCAAUGUACAUCUUUUCAGAAAAUUCAUAAAAUCAUUAAUGAAUUUGACAUGUUUGCAGCCAUCGGCAGACCAUGAUGACCUCAAGGACGUAUUGAGGAGAUUGCCUCUGGCUGCAGAGAGUUUGGAUUCUAGAGGCCUUUACAUUUACGAUGAUGGGUUUCGAUUGGUGUUGUGGUUUGGCCGGAUGCUUUCACCUGACAUUGCUAAAUGUCUUCUUGGGACUGACUUUGCAGCAGAGCUCUCAAGGGUAUGCUCUUUCAUCCACAUACAUGUUAAUUUAUUAACCAGCGUUACAUCUAAUGAUCUAUUUGCUUCCAUACUAAUUCCUCAGUCUUUCUUUGUGGUGGAUCUUUAGGUUACACUGCAAGAACAAGAGAAUGGGAUGUCGAAGAAGCUAAUGAGGCUGAUAAAGAAAGUGAGGGAUAAUGAUCCGUCAUACCAUCCCAUGUGUUUGCUAGUGAGGCAAGGAGAACAACCCCGAGAAGGCUUCCUUCUCCUCAGAAAUCUCAUUGAUGACCAGAUGGGCGGUUCGACUGGUUAUGUUGAUUGGAUGCUGCAACUUCACCGCCAAGUCCAACAAAAUGCGUAAUAGUUCACAAUGGUACGAAUUAAGAAACAUUUAUUCCAUGUCAUAACAGUCACAUGUUCAACGCAUCUUACGAAGCAGUUUUUUUUUUACAGACAACUUGAGUGCCAAGAUUGCGCCUCUCUGUAACAAUUAAAGAAACUCCUGAGCUCAAAAUCUUCUUCUUAAGCCGUCUAAGGUGUCACAAGGUUUAAAGAAUGCGGAUCAUUGCGGUCUGCUUCGUUGGGCUUAAUGUGUUUUGGAAAAUAAAGAAGCACUAGUUUGAUUUUUCUUCAUUUGUUUUUCUAUAUAAUCUUUUUUUUUUCCUGCUCAAUGUCCAGGCUUUUAUCUGCUUAACCAUAAUGGUAGAUUAGUCGUUUUUAUUAUUCCUUUGUUGCAUUUUUUUUCAAAUUUUCUUGUGCCUUUGUAAUCAGAUUUAUUUUGGGUGGGGGAGUUUACAAUCCAUGAAUCUAUUAAUCAGGGAUAUUGACAAAAAUUAAAUUACUUUGACUCCAUUAAGAUGGACACCACAUAUGAAUAUAAUCUGUAUGAAUGUGGGUAUAGACUAAAGGGAGUUAAGAUGUUGAUUGACCAUUUUAUAAAGAGAAAUUCAAAGAUUCUGGUCGGUUUAACCAGAACCGGUUAGGAUAAGAAACGUGUCAAUUAAUUUAUUUGGCGGCACUUUCUAGAAGCGUACAACAGAGUUAGAGACCGUGUGGGGCUCUCCCUUCCGCUUAUACGACGCCGUAAGACGAAUCUUUGAAAUGUUCCAAUCAGGUUGCCUUUAUUAAAUCACCUCUCUGAACCAUUGCUUUCAAAAAAAGUUUUCAGAUUUGAGCUUACCGACAAAAAAAAAAAAGAAAUUCCGAGCUUCCUGGAGAAGAAGCAGCGGCGACUUGCCUUUCAUUCGUUUUCGUAUGUGAUCGCUCCCUCGCAUCAAGAUUCGAAAUUCUUCAAGAUUUGGUCUUCAAGAUUCGAAAUUCUUAUGUUCGAUUUGUAAAAUAUUUGUUUUUGAGGUUUCUUUGUUCUUCUGUUUCAGGUGGUUAACUCUGUUUCUGAGGAUAUUUAGAGAUAUGGCUGAGGUAUAGUCUCUCUCUUUUUCAUCUCUUGUUAAAAGUUAAUUGGUAUCUUGCUUCGUUUGUUAAUUAGAUUCAAUGUGAGAUAUGUCAGGAAGCGCAUAAGGUUACUCUGAAUGUCUACGACCUGAGCAGAGGCUUGGCUCGCCAGCUCUCUGCUUCACUCUUGGGAAAAGUCAUCGAAGGUGUCUGGUCAGUUCCAUCUCUCUCUCUCUCUCUCUCUCUCCUACACACAUUCUCACAAGUUAUCAAUUUGAGUGAAAGGUGAAAACUUUAACCCUUUUUGCUGGGUUUAGUCUUCAAAGGCUUACCCCUUUCUUGAACAAGAUUUGCAAAAUUAACCUACUUUAGAAUAUUGCCAUGUCUCUAUGCGUAUUAAAACCAUUUAGGCAUUAACUGUUACUUUGUUAGGAAGCAGUUUGUAGUCUAAAGCUGGGCUAUUCCUUUUCUCAGGCACACGGGAAUAGUUGUGUAUGGGAACGAGUACUUUUUCGGAGGAGGGAUACAGCAUUUACCUGCUGGUACAACUCCGUACGGAGCACCACUACGAAGCGUAGAGAUGGGUGAGACACAUGUUCCUAAAGACGUGUUCGAGAUGUACUUGGAGGAGAUCAGUCCUCGCUACACCGCUGAGUCCUACAAUUUGCUUACUCACAACUGCAACAACUUCAGCAGCGAGGUGUCUCAGUUUCUUGUUGGUAAAGGCAUCCCAGACUACAUUCUCCAGCUUCCCAGUGAGGUCAUGAACAGCCCCAUGGGUGGUCUUCUAAGUUAGUAGCUCUUAACUUGGCUAAACCUCUCUUGACCCCUUGGAUCCUAAUUUUUAUAUCCUUAUUUGCAGUGCCUAUGGUACAAAACCUGGAAGCAACUCUUAGAGCCGGCGCUGUUCCUAACGCUCCACAGUUUAGGCCUCAGCCACAACCUCUUGGAGCUUCUAGCAAAGACGAAGGUCCAAAACCAUCUAACAAACUUGAGAAAGCUUCCGAGUCACCGGUUGUUGUUCAACCUUCGGCUAGUAAACAGAAGGUGAAAGAGGACCCAUUGGGUGAUGCUAGGACCAAGAUUCAGGAAGAGAUUACUCGUGAGUUUGCUUCUCUCAUGGCACAAGGCACACUGAGAGCAAGUGAAGCAGCUACUAUAGCUACCAAAAGAGUGAUGCAAAAGUAUGGGCAUCUCAAUGUAUCUGCUUAGAGUCAUAACAAAACAGAAUGAAACCGUUUAUUAUUGCAAUUGUAUUGGAACCGAGGCCAUUGAGUUACUAUUUCUCUAGCUGCAUUUGUAUUCAACAAUUUAGAAAACAAUUAGGACACUAGAGUCUCAGGUUCCAACUCAAUAGCUGUCUUUUUGGAUUCUGAAGGAAUAUUAAUGCCUGCAAAGCCGACCAUUACAGCAGCAGCUCCAAUGUAGUCGGUGAAGCUUGGUUUGUUCCCUGAUAAGCUGUCUACAUUGCCUGCCAAUGGAACCUGAAUGGUUAGCCCAGCCGUCGCCACCGUGGUUGUUGUCAGAAGUACUGCCUUCCCCCAUAGGUAGUCACUGAGCACAUUAUCUAACAAACCUGAAAACGCAAGACACACAUCAGCAUCCCAACAUUUACAAGUUAUGUGGUUUGGCAUACCUUUGCCAACAACUAGACCAAACUGUUCCAAGGUUAGCGCGUCGAAGCGUUCUCGCUUUGUGAAGUUGAGUAAUAGAGCAACAGGUAGGAAGAUGAAGAAGUUGAAGAGACCUAGAAACCCAAGAAGCUGAGCCAUACUGAAGCUGCCACUUCUCUCAUCGUCAUCUGGAAGCUUUUUGCGUAUAAGAGUGAUGUAGACAGCGUAUAGCGCCGCUGAGACCAGAGAGAGGAUAUCUCCAAGAAGUGGGUUUUUAGCUGUUGCAGUUGAGUCAGAUUCUGAGUCACCAAUACUCACAAUGAUGGUACCAAACAUACAAAGAAGAACGCUGAAAAGUUUCAACCAGAUGAAUCUCUCUCCCAAGAAUAGUAGUGAUACUAAAAAGGUGAAAAGGCUUGAUGCACUGCUUAAGAUUGUAUUUGACUGCAAACUCACAAAAUGAAAAUGUCUUAGGAUGAUGUAACACCCGUCUCAAUCUUUUUUGAUGCUACUUAGGGCAUCUGCAUUGGGAGGCCCUUAAGGCAUCCCUUAGGGGAAAAGGGUGGGAACCGAGGAAGAAAGAGAAGGGAAAAGCCCUUAAGCAAGGGCUGUCCCUUGCUCUUCAAUAACCAAAAAAAAAAAAAGUAAAAUAAGGGACUCUCUCUCCCUCUCUCUUCAUCCCACCAAUGAAGAUGCCCUUAUGCUAAAAUGUCGAAUUAAACCGAAUUAUAAAAACAUAAAUUGUCGAUCGUCGAAUCGUAUAUGUAAUCUUGAUAAUUAUAAUAUCAUAAUAAAUCAGCUUUAAAAUAUAUAAAUAUAUAUAUAUAUAUAUAUAAAAACAUUUUUUAUUCAUUUAAUAAAAAUAAAGAGAAUGAAAUAAUUUUAAAAUUCACUAAACGAAAUAAACAGCAUCCAAAGAUUAUAUAAAACUGAAAUAAAAUCACUAUGAUCCUUAAAAAAAUCUCAAGUCAAGCAUAAGAGUUGUUUCAGAACAGAGCAACACAAGAAUGAGUUCUCAAUGUACUUACCGUAACUGUCGUGUACUUGAGAGAGAGAUUGAAAGUGAGCUGAGCCAUUGCGCGGAGAUGAUCCUCGUGUCUAUGGAACUGACAAAGAAUAUGCUUUAAGGGUAGCUGAAGACGCCUUCUAUAAGCAAAUGGCUGCCGAUUGUACCAAGUUCCAGAUUGCAAUUAAUGUUUAUGCAUUCAGUGAUAAGUACACUGACAUUGCCUCCUUAGGUACGAAGACGUUAUGAUUAUCACCGUUUUAUUUAUUUCAGGUGUUCGGAGUCAGUUAGUGGUGGCUUCUCCCGCCGUUCAAUAUUGCUGUUUUAAGUGCGAAAUUUAUGUAUUAAAAUGCAUUGGUUUUGUGUAGGGACUCUGGCAAAAUACACUGGUGGACAGGUGUACUACUAUCCAGGCUUCCAAUCAUCUAUCCAUGGAGAUAAGUUAAGACACGAGCUGGCUAGAGACCUUACAAGGGAAACUGCCUGGGAAUCCGUCAUGCGAAUAAGAUGUGGAAAAGGUUUAAAAGUUUAUGAUACAGUAUUCAUUUUUGUUACCUGUUAUGGCACUCAAGAUAUGCUAAAUUCGUUGGUAUCCUACAUGUCAUCUUAUAUAUUUUGGCCUGCAGGAAUUCGUUGCUCGUCCUACCAUGGGAACUUCAUGCUAAGGUCUGCCGACCUGCUUGCUCUUCCUGCUGUUGAUUGUGACAAAGCAUAUGCAGUGCAGCUAGCUCUGGAAGAGACAUUGCUAACAACCCCGACUGUGUAUUUCCAAGUCGCUUUACUGUAUCCUUUUGAAUAGUGUAUAUUUAAAACAUACUUGAGUUUAGAUUUUCAGCUGGUACAACACAUCAUGUGGUUUUAGUAAUCCUUAACAGAACUAAGAUAUACUGCUUCUUGCGGAGAGAGGCGUAUAAGGGUACACACAGCUAUUGCACCAGUGGUUACAGAUCUUGGAGAGAUGUAUAGACAAGCAGACACUGGCUCCAUUGUCUCUGUAUAUGCUAGAUUAGGUAAGGGAUACAUUCAAGUUUUUCCCAGUAGCAUUAUACAUUACUUUGGAUGUUAUUUGAUAACUGUUUUAAUUCUGCAGCAAUUGAGAAAACUUUGUCCGCAAAAUUGGAUGAUGCACGGAAUGCUAUACAGCAAAAGAUUGUUAAAGCCCUCAGAGAAUAUCGUAAUCUUCACUCGGUGCAGCAUCGGUUGGGGUCUAGAUUAAUAUACCCAGAGUCUCUGAAGUUCUUGCCAUUGUACGGAUUGGCCAUUUGUAAGUCCACACCUCUUCAUGGUGGACCAGCUGAUGCUUCACUUGACGAACGAAGUGCGGCAGGCUUCACCAUGAUGGCCCUGCCUGUCAAAAAGCUAUUGAAGCUGUUAUAUCCCAGUUUAUUCCGUGUUGACGAGUGGCUCUUAAAG
RNAcentral lists this long non-coding RNA (5955 nucleotides) under Brassica napus (rape). RNAcentral's name for it is "long non-coding RNA (BNAP_LNC000172)". The record is from RNAcentral. Lineage: Eukaryota; Viridiplantae; Streptophyta; Magnoliopsida; Brassicales; Brassicaceae.